Pseudopipra pipra is the source of this 793-nucleotide long non-coding RNA. RefSeq lists it as uncharacterized. NCBI's taxonomy places the organism in Eukaryota, Metazoa, Chordata, Aves, Passeriformes, Pipridae. The record is from RefSeq and is a predicted model, not a curated record. The transcript has 2 exons.
UGGACCACUCCGGGCAUCGUCACGGGGAGGUGAUGCCUCGACCACUCCGGGCAUCGCCACGCCGAGGUGAUGCCAGGACCGCGCCGGGUUGCUCCGAGCAUCCUCUCGUCGCGGCGAUGCUCGGAGCGCUCCGGGCGUCACCGCGGGCACGGGGGGCUGUGGUCGGGCUGCGCUGGAACGGCCCCUGCUCGGACCUGCCUCUGCCCUCCUUGGCGGCAGCCUCGGACCCACCUUUCAGCCCUCCUGGGACCCACCACCCCUCAGCUCUAUCUGCAGACCCUCCCCAAGCUGCCCAGGUUGUGUCCAACACCCCCCUGUGUUCUCAUCCCCCCUUUGCCCAGCAGCCGCCCUGGCAGAAGCCUCGGGGAGGUCCCAGGUCCCCUCGGCGAGGCUGGGGGGACACACAGCCCUCUCUGCACCCCAGAACCCCCAGACACGUGUAAAUAGCAUUUUUUUCCCCUUCAUUUUGCAGUUCCCACAAGGCACGAGAGCCCGUCGAGCCCCUGCAUCCUCACCAUGUCCUUUGUUACAAGUGGUUCCUAAUAACCAGCCCUUUUUAAGAGGAGACAACACCAACAGCAAUUUCAAAGCCCACACAGAACUUUGUCUGCAAGGACUGAAACCCAAUAUCUGGAAGACUCAGAAGGAAUGCAAAUAAGUAUUUAAUUUCUUUCUUUUGAAGCCCUCUCUGCUUUGUUUGUGCCAUAUAUAGCAGGUGCCUGAGCAGCUUUCAUUCUUUUAUUAUCCCUUGCACCCAUUUCUGAGCACAGGAACAGCAAUUUGCUCACUUUGA